RNAcentral lists this ribosomal RNA (1066 nucleotides) under uncultured bacterium. Its description in RNAcentral is "bacterial SSU rRNA". It matches the Rfam family "Bacterial small subunit ribosomal RNA". The record is from RNAcentral.
UGGAUAUUGGCCGUUGCAACCGUAGGCCGGAAUAAUAGGCCUUAGCAUUGCCUAGUACUCCAGCGCCCCAGUAAGGAUUCCGAAUUCCUUGUUCUUAGUCCAGUCCCACCCGGUACGAGGUCAGCUAUCGGAUCUGGCUAAGCGCGUAGUGGUUUUAAGUGAUAGGAAGCUGGUCUCACUGAGACGCUGCUAACUCAAUGUCUAGAGUGCGAAGAGGAAGAGAUUCCAGUGUACGCGGUGGAAUGCGUUGAUUUGUGGAGAAAUCCCGAUUGGGAGAGGCAGCUUCGCGGUUUCUGUAUCGACUAUGAGGUGGGGAAAGCGGGGUAGCCACCGGGUAUUAGUCCCCUUGUAGUCCCCGCGGUAACGAUGACAACUAGCUAGUGGUAGACGAAGAUCUUUCAGUGGCAGCAGCUAACGCUAUAAGUUGUCCGUCUGGAGUAGUACGCCCGCAAAGUAAAUCUCAAAUGAAGUGACGGGGACCCGCACAAAGCGGGUAGCAGCAUGUGGUAUAUUUCGAUGCACGCGCGAAACACUCUUCACGUACUCGUCACAUUCUUAGAUGCUCAUGUAAUAGAGAGUGUGCUUCUAGAACCAAGAUACAGGUGCUGCAUGGCUGUCGUCAGCUCGUGUCGUGAGAUGUUGGGUUAAGUCCCAUAACGAGCGCAACCCUUAUCCUUAGUUGCCAGCAGUUCGGCCGGGAACUAUAAGGAGACUGCCGGUGACAAACCGGAGGAAGGUGAGGACGACGUCAAGUCAUCAUGGCCCUUACGAGCUAGGGCUACACACGUGCUACAAUGCGGAAUACAGACGGACGCAUAAAGCGUGAGGGGGGUGCCAAUCCUAAAAAAUUUGUCGUAGUCCGGAUCGCAGUCUGCAACUCGACUGCAUGAAGUCGGAAUCGCUAGUAAUCGCGAAUCAGCAUGUCGCGGUGAAUACGUUCUCGGGUCUUGUACACACCGCCCGUCACACCAUGGAAGUGGGUUGCUCCAGAAGUAGGUAGUCUAACCUUCGGGAAGGCGAUCACCACGGAGUGAUUCAUGACUGGGGUGAAGUCGUAACAAGGUAA